RNAcentral lists this unclassified non-coding RNA (323 nucleotides) under uncultured fungus. RNAcentral describes it as "partial contains 5.8S ribosomal RNA and internal transcribed spacer 2". The stretch from base 1 to 133 matches the Rfam family "5.8S ribosomal RNA", at positions 22 to 154 of the family's 154-position model. Lineage: Eukaryota; Fungi. The record is from RNAcentral.
UGGUUCUGGCAUCGAUGAAGAACGCAGCGAAAUGCGAUAAGUAGUGUGAAUUGCAGAAUUCAGUGAAUCAUCGAAUCUUUGAACGCACAUUGCGCCCCUUGGUAUUCCAUGGGGCAUGCCUGUUCGAGCGUCAUUGGCCUCCUCCAGCCCUGCUGGGUGCUGGGCGUUUGUUCCGCCGCGCGCGCGAACUCGCCUCAAAUGCAUUGGCCGCCCGUCGUCCCGUGGGGGAGCGCAGUACAUACCUCGCGCGCCCCUGCCCGCACGGCGGCGCCCACAAGCCUUUCUUAACGCUUGACCUCGGAUCAGGUAGGGAUACCCGCUGA